Molecule: long non-coding RNA, 274 nt
Filed under: Mytilus galloprovincialis (Mediterranean mussel)
Lineage: Eukaryota; Metazoa; Mollusca; Bivalvia; Mytilida; Mytilidae
Source: RNAcentral
UGGAUGUGUAGUUCUGAGAAAAAUGUGACGAAAAUUUUCAACUUGGCUAUCAUGUGUAAAAUCAUACAAGUGUUCGGUAAACAGGAAGUUGUCAAGUGAUGAAUCUGAAACGCAUCACACGGUAUGGCUAACAUAUAUAAUGUUGAUACCAAAUUACAGAAAGGGUGGAUGUGUAGUUCCUGAGAAAAAUGUGACGAAAAUUUUCAACUUGGCUAUCAUGUGUAAAAUCAUACAAGUGUUCGGUAAACAGGAAGUUGUCAAGUGAUGAAUCUGA